RNAcentral lists this long non-coding RNA (561 nucleotides) under Ananas comosus (pineapple). Its description in RNAcentral is "long non-coding RNA (ACOM_LNC036098)". The record is from RNAcentral. Lineage: Eukaryota; Viridiplantae; Streptophyta; Magnoliopsida; Poales; Bromeliaceae.
AAAAGCAGAAAAAAAUAAAAAAAAUAUAAAUGCAUUAAACAUAUUACGGCCUUUUAUUUAUGCCAAACAUAUUAUUUCGAAACAUUAUUUCUAAAUAAAUUAUAUUUUUUGGAUUGCUUAUAAUGCAUUAAACAUUCUACAACCUCUACGUGUGUAAAAUAUAUUAUUUCCAAACAUAAUUUUCUUAAUCAAUUUUUAUUAAUAAAUAGUUUACACUAUAAAUAAAUUACGAACCCCACUCUUUUUCAAUCGAAUCCAUCCGAUUUCAGCACCGUCCCCUCCUCUUUUCUUUGGUAGUAAUGACGUCUGAUUCGGCGACGGGACCAGCCUCUUCUAUAGCGCUGACGUCUAGUUCUUUCGCGAACUUUUUCAAUUUAUUUCGGAUUCUCGUCGUAUCAGACGACAUGCCUUUUCUUGAAGCCGUUUCCGGCGGACUUAUAGCUAGCGGUUACUAUGGUUUCAAUUUUUUAUUUUUUCCUUUUUUAUAUUUGUGUUAUUGGUCAGUAUUCUAAAACUUUUAUAAAAGUUUACAGUACAUUUUUUCUAGUGUAAUUAUUUUUA